CCUACGGGUGGCAGCAGUGGGGAAUAUUGGACAAUGGGGGGAACCCUGAUCCAGCGACGCCGCGUGAGUGAAGAAGUAUCUCGGUAUGUAAAGCUCUAUCAGCAGGGAAGAAAAUGACGGUACCUGACUAAGAAGCCACGGCUAACUACGUGCCAGCAGCCGCGGUAAUACGUAGGGGGCAAGCGUUAUCCGGAUUUACGGGGGGUAAAGGGAGCGUAGGCGGUGCAGCAGGUCUGAUGGGAAAGGUGGGGGCCCAACACCGGGACUGCAGUGGAAACUGUUGAACUGGAGUACACGAGAGGUAUGCGGAAUGCGUGGUGGAGCGGUGAAAUGCAUAGAUAUUAGGCAGAACACCGGUGGCGAAGGCAGCAUACUGGACGGUAACUGACGCUGAGGCUCGAAAGCGUGGGGAGCGAACAGGAUGAGAUACCCGGGUAGUC
Molecule: ribosomal RNA, 440 nt
Filed under: uncultured bacterium
Lineage: Bacteria
Description: partial 16S ribosomal RNA
Rfam family: Bacterial small subunit ribosomal RNA
Source: RNAcentral